Molecule: ribosomal RNA, 510 nt
Filed under: Pantoea sp. A-A-D-2-4
Lineage: Bacteria; Pseudomonadati; Pseudomonadota; Gammaproteobacteria; Enterobacterales; Erwiniaceae
Description: bacterial SSU rRNA
Rfam family: Bacterial small subunit ribosomal RNA
Source: RNAcentral
UUUCGGGCCUUUUCACUUUUCGGAUGAACCCCGAUGGGAUUAGCUAGUUAGGCCGGGGUAACGGCCCCACCUAGGCGANCGAUCCCUUANCUUGGUCUGAGAGGAUGNCCAGCCCCCACUGGAANUGAGACACGUUCCAGANUCCUACGGGAGGCAGCAGUGGGGAAUAUUGCACAAUGGGCGCAAGCCUGAUGCAGCCAUGCCGCGUGUAUGAAGAAGGCCUUCGGGUUGUAAAGUACUUUCAGCGGGGAGGAAGGCGAUGUGGUUAAUAACCGCAUUGAUUGACGUUACCCGCAGAAGAAGCACCGGCUAACUCCGUGCCAGCAGCCGCGGUAAUACGGAGGGUGCAAGCGUUAAUCGGAAUUACUGGGCGUAAAGCGCACGCAGGCGGUCUGUUAAGUCAGAUGUGAAAUCCCCGGGCUUAACCUGGGAACUGCAUUUGAAACUGGCAGGCUUGAGUCUCGUAGAGGGGGGUAGAAUUCCAGGUGUAGCGGUGAAACUGCGUAGAGA